UGAACGCUAGCUACAGGCUUAACACAUGCAAGCCGAGGGGCAGCAUGGUCUUAGCUUGCUAAGGCCGAUGGCGACCGGCGCACGGGUGAGUAACACGUAUCCAACCUGCCGUCUACUCUUGGACAGCCUUCUGAAAGGAAGAUUAAUACAAGAUGGCAUCAUGAGUCCGCAUGUUCACAUGAUUAAAGGUAUUCCGGUAGACGAUGGGGAUGCGUUCCAUUAGAUAGUAGGCGGGGUAACGGCCCACCUAGUCUUCGAUGGAUAGGGGUUCUGAGAGGAAGGUCCCCCACAUUGGAACUGAGACACGGUCCAAACUCCUACGGGAGGCAGCAGUGAGGAAUAUUGGUCAAUGGGCGAGAGCCUGAACCAGCCAAGUAGCGUGAAGGAUGACUGCCCUAUGGGUUGUAAACUUCUUUUAUAAAGGAAUAAAGUCGGGUAUGGAUACCCGUUUGCAUGUACUUUAUGAAUAAGGAUCGGCUAACUCCGUGCCAGCAGCCGCGGUAAUACGGAGGAUCCGAGCGUUAUCCGGAUUUAUUGGGUUUAAAGGGAGCGUAGAUGGAUGUUUAAGUCAGUUGUGAAAGUUUGCGGCUCAACCGUAAAAUUGCAGUUGAUACUGGAUAUCUUGAGUGCAGUUGAGGCAGGCGGAAUUCGUGGUGUAGCGGUGAGAUGCUUAGAUAUCACGAAGAACUCCGAUUGCGAAGGCAGCCUGCUAAGCUGCAACUGACAUUGAGGCUCGAAAGUGUGGGUAUCAAACAGGAUUAGAUACCCUGGUAGUCCACACGGUAAACGAUGAAUACUCGCUGUUUGCGAUAUACGGCAAGCGGCCAAGCGAAAGCGUUAAGUAUUCCACCUGGGGAGUACGCCGGCAACGGUGAAACUCAAAGGAAUUGACGGGGGCCCGCACAAGCGGAGGAACAUGUGGUUUAAUUCGAUGAUACGCGAGGAACCUUACCCGGGCUUAAAUUGCAGAUGAAUUACGGUGAAAGCCGUAAGCCGCAAGGCAUCUGUGAAGGUGCUGCAUGGUUGUCGUCAGCUCGUGCCGUGAGGUGUCGGCUUAAGUGCCAUAACGAGCGCAACCCUUGUUGUCAGUUACUAACAGGUUCCGCUGAGGACUCUGACGAGACUGCCAUCGUAAGAUGUGAGGAAGGUGGGGAUGACGUCAAAUCAGCACGGCCCUUACGUCCGGGGCUACACACGUGUUACAAUGGGGGGUACAGAGGGCCGCUACCACGCGAGUGGAUGCCAAUCCCCAAAACCUCUCUCAGUUCGGACUGGAGUCUGCAACCCGACUCCACGAAGCUGGAUUCGCUAGUAAUCGCGCAUCAGCCACGGCGCGGUGAAUACGUUCCCGGGCCUUGUACACACCGCCCGUCAAGCCAUGGGAGCCGGGGGUACCUGAAGUGCGUAACCGCGAGGAGCGCCCUAGGGUAAAACUGGUGACUGGGGC
Molecule: ribosomal RNA, 1447 nt
Filed under: uncultured organism
Description: SSU rRNA
Rfam family: Bacterial small subunit ribosomal RNA
Source: RNAcentral